UCAAUCCUGAAAUGUUCGUUAGGGAAUCUAUAAUUCAACCUACAAUUCGACAUCGGGAGUCCGGGUUUACCCCAGCCAAUGUCAGGCCUCCGUUUGCAGUGGAAGACAGCGGCGGGAACAGGACACCCACCUAUCAUUAGAUAGGGCGUGAAUUAUGAUCUCGACGGCAUGUCGGGAUUUUU
This 182-nucleotide non-coding RNA is filed under the name Bacillota bacterium. RNAcentral describes it as "6S RNA". It matches the Rfam family "6S / SsrS RNA". From Rfam's summary of the family: E. coli 6S RNA was the first non coding RNA to be sequenced, but its function was unknown until recently. It consists of 184 nucleotides that fold into an extended hairpin structure with a large single-stranded internal bulge. Lineage: Bacteria; Bacillati; Bacillota. The record is from RNAcentral.